Molecule: ribosomal RNA, 253 nt
Filed under: uncultured bacterium
Lineage: Bacteria
Description: partial 16S ribosomal RNA
Rfam family: Bacterial small subunit ribosomal RNA
Source: RNAcentral
UACGUAGGGCGCAAGCGUUGUCCGGAAUUAUUGGGCGUAAAGAGCUCGUAGGCGGUUUGUCGCGUCUGCUGUGAAAACCUAAGGCUCAACCUUGGGCUUGCAGUGGGUACGGGCAGACUAGAGUGCGGUAGGGGAGACUGGAAUUCCUGGUGUAGCGGUGGAAUGCGCAGAUAUCAGGAGGAACACCGGUGGCGAAGGCGGGUCUCUGGGCCGUAACUGACGCUGAGGAGCGAAAGCAUGGGGAGCGAACAGG